UACGGAGGGUGCAAGCGUUAUCCGGAUUUAUUGGGUUUAAAGGGUCCGCAGGCGGAUCGUUAAGUCAGUGGUGAAAGCCCACAGCUCAACUGUGGAAUUGCCAUUGAUACUGGCGAUCUUGAGUACGUAUGAAGUUGGCGGAAUGUGUGGUGUAGCGGUGAAAUGCUUAGAUAUCACACAGAACACCGAUUGCGAAGGCAGCUGGCUAAUACGUAACUGACGCUGAGGGACGAAAGUGUGGGGAUCAAACAGG
This 253-nucleotide ribosomal RNA is filed under the name uncultured bacterium. RNAcentral's name for it is "partial 16S ribosomal RNA". It matches the Rfam family "Bacterial small subunit ribosomal RNA", at positions 524 to 776 of the family's 1533-position model. The record is from RNAcentral.